UUUUGAGGAUGAGGAAUGUAUUUAAUAUCUUAAUUGCGGUGAUAGUUUCAUGGCUGUAUACAUGUCAAAACUUACCAGAUUGUACAAUUUAAAUAUGUGCAGUUUGUUUUAUGUCCACUAUACCUCAAAAACUGUUAAGAAAAUGUAAAAUUUACACAUUACCAGUUUAGAUGAGGCUUGUACUAUGAUUCCCCACCCCUCCCAAAACACAGCACAUAUUUUCUGUAGGAUGAACACAGUUUUUAGGACUAUAAAAUUAAUUUAAAUUAAAAAAUUUAUCCAUGGCAUAUAAACACAUGCAAAUGUGCUUAUCAUCAUUAGUUAAUAAGGAAAUAUAAAUUAAAGCCACAGUGAGGGACACCUGGGUGGCUCAGUGGUUGAACAUCUGCCUUCAGCUCAGGGCAUGAUCCUGGGGUCCCUGCAUGAAGCCUGAUUCUCCCUCUGCCUAUGUCUCUGCUUCUCUCUCUGUGUAUCUCUCAUGAAUAAACAAAUAAAUAAAAUCUUAAAAAAAAACCACAUUGAGAUCCAAUAUAGUUGUUGGGGAAAAUGAUAAAGUUUGUUUAAUAUUAAUAUGGUUUCAUACUACAGCAAGAAUUCAUCAGAUUGGGGCACAUGGGUAGCUCAUUCUGGGAAGCAUCUGACUCUUGGUUUCAGCUCAGGUCAUAAUCUCAGGGUCCUGGGAUUGAGCCCAUGUCUGAGUUCAGUGAGGAGUCUGCUUGAGGAUUUUCUCCCUCUGUACCACCCUCAACCCUGCUUGCAAGUGUGUGCAAAUAAACAAACAAACAAACAAAUCUUUAAAAAAACAUUCAUCUGAUUUACAAAUAACAUGAACUUCUAAUCUUUAAAAGAAAAAUCCAUUUUCUGUUUUAUUACAAUGUUUUACAGAGCUUCUGUCUGGUGCCACCCUGUCCAGCUGCAGUAAGUCAUUCUAACAUGUACUAUUAGCAACCCAGGUUUGUUCUCUAUUAGUCUCCACUAAAGGAAACAGAGUUCCUUGAUGACAAUUUAUUCUAUAUUUGAGAAAGAAUAACUCAAGCUGAGUUUUGAGUUAUCUUAAUUAUUAUCACGAAGAAACAAUGUUUUUAGCAGUUCCUGGUGGGGGUGAGGUUAAAAAAGAUAAAGAGGGUAACUUGACAAGAGGGCUGCUAGGGGCAAGUAGAAACAAUCUAAGCAACAACUAGGAAAGAUUUUACAUUCACCAUAAAUGUUAAGAUUAGAAAGACUAACAACCACAAGUAUUGGAGAAAAUGUGAAGCAACUAGAAGUUUCACACAUUGUAGCAGGCAUGUAAAAUGACACGAUCCUUUUGAAAAAGGGUCUGGUAGGACCCUUAUUAAGCUAAACAGAUGUCUACUGUAGGACCCAACAAUUCCAUCCUUAGAUGUUUACCCAAGAGGAAUAGACAUAUGUUCACAAAAAGUAUAUCCAAGAUGUUCUGAGCACUUUUUUCAUAACAGAAAGAAAGAAAGAAAGAAAGAAAGAAAGAAAGAAAGAAAGAAAGAAAGAAAGAAAAGAAAAGAAAAGAAACGAAGAAAAAAAAAAAAAAAGCAAGCAGAAACAGCCCAGGUGUCCAUCAACAGGAAAAUGGAAAAAACAAACUGGCACAUUCAUACAAAAGACUACUCAGCAAUAAAAAGGAAUGAAUCACUGGUACAUGUGACAUGAAUUAACUUCAAAAACAUGCUGAAUGAAGGAAGCAUUUUGUUUUUUACGAUUUCAUUCAUAUAAAGUUUUAGAAUGGGCAAAUUUAAUCUGUGAGGCAAAAUAAUCAGAACAGUAGUUAACACCUGAUAGGUGAGGUAGGGAUUGACUCUGAAGGAACAUGCGGAAACUUUCUGGAAUGACUGCUGUGUUUUUAAUUUUGAAAAGGUUUUGGGUUACACAGAUGAAUGCAUCUGCAAAAACUCAGCAAGCUUAUUUUUAACUUUUGUGCAUUUCAUUGUAUGUAAGUGUAUAACAAAAAUUUUUUAAACUAAAAAAAAUAAAAUAAAAAAUAUUUUUUAAACUAAACAUUAGGGCAGCCCAGGUGGCUCAGUGGUUUAGUGUCGUCUUCAGCCCAGGGCCUGAUCCUGGAGACUAGGGAUCAAGUCCUGCAUCGGGUUCCCUGCAUGGAGCCUGUUUCUCCCUCUGCCUGUGUCUCUGCCUCUCUCUCUCUCUGUGUCUCUCAUGAAUAAAUAAAUAAAAUCUUAAAAAAAAAAAA
This 2200-nucleotide long non-coding RNA is filed under the name Canis lupus familiaris (dog). RNAcentral describes it as "lncRNA (ENSCAFG00000058662.1)". Lineage: Eukaryota; Metazoa; Chordata; Mammalia; Carnivora; Canidae. The record is from RNAcentral.